This 716-nucleotide ribosomal RNA is filed under the name uncultured beta proteobacterium. Its description in RNAcentral is "bacterial SSU rRNA". It matches the Rfam family "Bacterial small subunit ribosomal RNA", at positions 52 to 789 of the family's 1533-position model. Lineage: Bacteria; Pseudomonadati; Pseudomonadota; Betaproteobacteria. The record is from RNAcentral.
UGCAGUCGAGCGGCAGCGCGGGGGCAACCCUGGCGGCGAGCGGCGAACGGGUGAGUAAUACAUCGGAACGUGUCCUCUCGGGGGGAUAACCAGUCGAAAGACUGGCUAAUACCGCAUGAGCUCGAGAGAGGAAAGCGGGGGACCGCAAGGCCUCGCGCGAGAGGAGCGGCCGAUGUCCGAUUAGCUAGUUGGUGGGGUAACGGCUCACCAAGGCGACGAUCGGUAGCUGGUCUGAGAGGACGACCAGCCACACUGGGACUGAAACACGGCCCAACUCCUACGGGAGGCGUGGGGAAUUUUGGACAAUGGGCGCAAGCCUGAUCCAGCCAUGCCGCGUGUGUGAAGAAGGCCUUCGGGUUGUAAAGCACUUUCGGACGGAACGAAUCGCGCGGGUUAACAGCUCGCGUGGAUGACGGUACCGUAAGAAGAAGCACCGGCUAACUACGUGCCAGCACCGCGGUAAUACGUAGGGUGCGAGCGUUAAUCGGAAUUACUGGGCGUAAAGUGUGCGCAGCGGCCUCGCGUCAAGUGUGAGAUCCCCGAGCUUAACUUGGAAUUGCGCUUGAACUACGGGGCUCGAGUGUGGCAGAGGGAGGUGGAAUUCCACGUGUAGCGGUGAAAUGCGUAAGAUGUGGAGGAACACCGAUGGCGAAGCAGCCUCCUGGGCCAACACUGACCUCAUGCGAAAGCGUGGGGAGCAAACGAUUAAUACCCUG